CAGCCGCCGCGGUAAGACAGAGGAUGCAAGCGUUAUCCGGAAUGAUUGGGCGUAAAGCGUGCGCAGGCGGUUCGUUAAGACAGAUGUGAAAUCCCCGGGCUUAGCCUGGGAACUGCAUUUGUGACUGGCGAGCUAGAGUAUGGCAGAGGGGGGUAGAAUUCCACGUGUAGCAGUGAAAUGCGUAGAGAUGUGGAGGAAUACCGAUGGCGAAAGCAGCCCCCUGGGUCAAUACUGACGCUCAUGCACGAAAGCGUGGGGAGCAAACAGGAUUAGAUACCCCCGUAGUCCCUGUCUCUUAUAC
RNAcentral lists this ribosomal RNA (301 nucleotides) under uncultured bacterium. RNAcentral describes it as "partial 16S ribosomal RNA". It matches the Rfam family "Bacterial small subunit ribosomal RNA", at positions 509 to 807 of the family's 1533-position model. The record is from RNAcentral.